Molecule: ribosomal RNA, 367 nt
Filed under: uncultured bacterium
Lineage: Bacteria
Description: partial 16S ribosomal RNA
Rfam family: Bacterial small subunit ribosomal RNA
Source: RNAcentral
CCUACGGGAGGCAGCAGUGAGGAAUAUUGGUCAAUGGGCGGAAGCCUGAACCAGCCAAGUCGCGUGAGGGAAGAAGGCCCUACGGGGCGUAAACCUCGUUUGCCGGGGAGCAAGGGCGGGGACGUGACCCGGCCCGGAGAGGACCCGGAGAAAAAGCAGCGGCGAACUCCGUGCCAGCAGCCGCGGUAAUACGGAGGAGGCGAGCGUUAUCCGGAUUUAUUGGGUUGAAAGGGUGCGUCGGCGGACUUUGAAGUCAGCGGGAAAAAUUCGGGGCUCAACCCCGUCCGGCCGUUGAAACGGGGGGCCUUGAGUGUGCGCGCCGCAGGCGGAAUGCGUGGUGUCGCGGUGCACUGCCUAGCUCUCACGC